AUGUCGAAGAAGAAGGCGGUGACGACGAUGACGCUCAAGGACUUCCACGGCGGCUCCAUCCCCUCCGAGCUCCCUCUCCCCUCCGCCCCUGGCGUCUCUGCACGACCGCCCGACCGCCCCACGGCCGCUCCGUCCGCCUCUUCGACUGCAUCCGCGCGCCCGCGGACUCCCGCCGCUUCCUCCGCAGCGGCGGCGGCUGCCGCUGUCCCUUCCUUCCUCACCAAUCCCUCCCGCAUCGGCCGCCACUUCGAUGAGGACGAGCGCACGCCCUUCGAGCUGGCCGCGCCUCGCCGCCCUGGGCCGUCGCCCCCGUCGUUCCCAUCCGUGCCGGCGGUGGCCCCCGCUAGAUCUGGACCGGGUAACGCCUGGGGUGCGAAGAGGGAGGUCGCUCCAGCCGCGCCGCCGGUUGUUCCUGCCGCCAGCAGCGGUCAGAUCUGGUCGGCGACGCGCAUCGCGCAGGCGAGCGCUGUGGAGAAGGUAAUCUCCGGUAGGUGGCAUUUGUCCAAGCCCUCCUCCCCGCCCGCCUCUGUGUCGGCACCAGUGCUGGAGACUCAGGUGGUCUCGCCUGAGAUGGAGAGGUCAGGGUUGGUUGGAACGAGAGGGUUUGACAGUGCCAUCGAGAGACCAAGGUCGUUGGCUGUGAGAGAGCUGGACGGUGCCAUGGAGAGGCCAAGGUCAGUUGGAUUAAGAGGGUUGGACGUUGCAAUGGAGAAGGGUGUGGAACCAGUGAGGCCUGCAUCACAUGAAGGCAGGGUUGGGGAAGGGAAAAUCGGAGAGGUGCCAGAAAGGCCCAAGCUGAAGCUGCUUCCUCGUUCCAAGCCAAUCGAAUCCCCUGCACCAUCACCUACCUAUAUUGAAGAGAAGCAGGUCCUUCCGGUCCCUGUGAUAGCAAGUGUCAUUCAGGUUGAGGUUGUUCAUGAAGCGCGCCAGAAUGUGAUGGUAGCCAAAACGGGAGUGGCAGGGGCAGAUGCUGAAAGCAGGGCAACUGUGGAGCGACCACGGCUGAAUCUGAAACCUCGCUCUAAUGGAGUGGGUCAGUCUGGUGAAAGUGCUGCGAAGGAGAGGCCAUCCCUCUUUGGUGGUGCUCGCCCCCGGGAACAAGUUCUCAGAGAUCGUGGUGUGGAUGCUUUGGCAAGUGACCUCGAGAUCACCUCUCCAGUUGGCAGUGUGUCAUCUAGGUCCAAAAAUGAAUUUGCAAAGGUCGAGCAGAAGGUUGAAGCUAUGACCAUUAACCCUUCAGGCGAAAAGGCUGAUAGUUUUGCAGUUGGUCACAGAGGCCCAAGGAAUGCUGAUAGGAAAGAUUACAGGCGGGAUACAGACAGGGCUGAUGCAUACAGGCCUACACGACGCGAUGAGAACAGGAAGGUUGCUAGAGAUGUGGAAAAGCAGCCUGAACAACAACGCCCAGAGCCUGAAACCUGGCGUAAACCAGUGGAGCCACCAAAGCCUGAGGUUACUGCACCUCGGUUUGGGAAAGCAGCGACUGCCUUGGAGCUCGCCCAAGCCUUCUCCAAGUCCAUGUCUGAUACUGUGCCGCAGUCUCGCUUGACCAGUGUUCCUAGUCCAAGAGUUCCUCCGAAGCCAGGGGCUAGGGAUCAGGUUGGCUUUUCAAGGCUCACUGACAACGGGGCAUUGCACUCUGGAUCUUCACAGCGAAAGAUUAACGGUUACUGA
Molecule: ribosomal RNA, 1674 nt
Filed under: Triticum aestivum (bread wheat)
Lineage: Eukaryota; Viridiplantae; Streptophyta; Magnoliopsida; Poales; Poaceae
Description: partial small subunit ribosomal RNA
Source: RNAcentral